This is an unclassified non-coding RNA of 229 nucleotides. The stretch from base 1 to 46 matches the Rfam family "Eukaryotic small subunit ribosomal RNA", at positions 1786 to 1831 of the family's 1831-position model.
AAGUCGUAACAAGGUUUCCGUAGGUGAACCUGCGGAAGGAUCAUUACCAGUAUCCUAGCCGGCAACCGGCCGGCAGUUUACGAUCAUCCACCAUGUGCACUCAUCGAACCAUGCUUUGGCAGAUUUUCUCUGCCAGGGUCUUCUUCAACUCAUAGCCUGAUCUUCUGACUGAACUAUACACAUUUUUGUAAUAAAAAUACAACUUUCAACAACGGAUCUCUUGGCUCUC